Molecule: ribosomal RNA, 468 nt
Filed under: uncultured bacterium
Lineage: Bacteria
Description: partial 16S ribosomal RNA
Rfam family: Bacterial small subunit ribosomal RNA
Source: RNAcentral
GACGAACGCUGGCGGCGUGCUUAACACAUGCAAGUCGAACGGAAAGGCCCUGCUUUUGUGGGGUGCUCGAGUGGCGAACGGGUGAGUAACACGUGAGUAACCUGCCCUUGACUUUGGGAUAACUUCAGGAAACUGGGGCUAAUACCGGAUAGGAGCUCCUGCUGCAUGGUGGGGGUUGGAAAGUUUCGGCGGUUGGGGAUGGACUCGCGGCUUAUCAGCUUGUUGGUGGGGUAGUGGCUUACCAAGGCUUUGGCGGGUAGCCGGCCUGAGAGGGUGACCGGCCACAUUGGGACUGAGAUACGGCCCAGACUCCUACGGGAGGCAGCAGUGGGGAAUAUUGCACAAUGGGCGGAAGCCUGAUGCAGCAACGCCGCGUGCGGGAUGACGGCCUUCGGGUUGUAAGCCGCUUUCGCCUGUGACGAAGCGUGAGUGACGGUAAUGGGUAAAGAAGCACCGGCUAACUACGUG